This 482-nucleotide ribosomal RNA is filed under the name uncultured bacterium. RNAcentral describes it as "partial 16S ribosomal RNA". It matches the Rfam family "Bacterial small subunit ribosomal RNA", at positions 30 to 507 of the family's 1533-position model. The record is from RNAcentral.
AUUGAACGCUGGCGGCAUGCCUUACACAUGCAAGUCGAACGGUAACGGGCCUUCGGGUGCCGACGAGUGGCGAACGGGUGAGUAAUACAUCGGAACGUGCCCGAUCGUGGGGGAUAACGAGGCGAAAGCUUUGCUAAUACCGCAUACGAUCUACGGAUGAAAGCAGGGGACCGCAAGGCCUUGCGCGGACGGAGCGGCCGAUGGCAGAUUAGGUAGUUGGUGGGAUAAAAGCUUACCAAGCCGACGAUCUGUAGCUGGUCUGAGAGGAUGAUCAGCCACACUGGGACUGAGACACGGCCCAGACUCCUACGGGAGGCAGCAGUGGGGAAUUUUGGACAAUGGGCGCAAGCCUGAUCCAGCCAUGCCGCGUGCAGGAUUAAGGCCUUCGGGUUGUAAACUGCUUUUGUACGGAACGAAAAGCCUUCUUUUAAUACAGGAGGGUCAUGACGGUACCGUAAGAAUAAGCACCGGCUAACUUCGUG